GGUGAAAAGCACCCCGGAAGGGGAGUGAAAUAGAACCUGAAACCGUGUGCUUACAAGUAGUCAGAGCCCGUUAAUGGGUGAUGGCGUGCCUUUUGUAGAAUGAACCGGCGAGUUACGAUUUGAUGCAAGGUUAAGCAGUAAAUGUGGAGCCGUAGCGAAAGCGAGUCUGAAUAGGGCGUUUAGUAUUUGGUCGUAGACCCGAAACCAGGUGAUCUACCCUUGGUCAGGUUGAAGUUCAGGUAACACUGAAUGGAGGACCGAACCGACUUACGUUGAAAAGUGAGCGGAUGAACUGAGGGUAGCGGAGAAAUUCCAAUCGAACCUGGAGAUAGCUGGUUCUCUCCGAAAUAGCUUUAGGGCUAGCCUCAAGUGAUGAUUAUUGGAGGUAGAGCACUGUUUGGACGAGGGGCCCCUCUCGGGUUACCGAAUUCAGACAAACUCCGAAUGCCAAUUAAUUUAACUUGGGAGUCAGAACAUGGGUGAUAAGGUCCGUGUUCGAAAGGGAAACAGCCCAGACCACCAGCUAAGGUCCCAAAAUAUAUGUUAAGUGGAAAAGGAUGUGGCGUUGCCCAGACAACUAGGAUGUUGGCUUAGAAGCAGCCAUCAUUUAAAGAGUGCGUAAUAGCUCACUAGUCGAGUGACACUGCGCCGAAAAUGUACCGGGGCUAAACAUAUUACCGAAGCUGUGGAUUGUCCUUUGGACAAUGGUAGGAGAGCGUUCUAAGGGCGUUGAAGCAUGAUCGUAAGGACAUGUGGAGCGCU
RNAcentral lists this ribosomal RNA (762 nucleotides) under Staphylococcus aureus. Its description in RNAcentral is "partial 23S ribosomal RNA". It matches the Rfam family "Bacterial large subunit ribosomal RNA", at positions 513 to 1282 of the family's 2925-position model. The record is from RNAcentral. Lineage: Bacteria; Bacillati; Bacillota; Bacilli; Caryophanales; Staphylococcaceae.